AGGGUUGGGCCAAAGUUAGGCCUUUCCUUUUGCCUUGUAAUUUCUCCAAGCCCAUUAAGCAUGUCGUGGUUGGCACCAUUUCUUACAGGACGUGUCUGGAGCAUACUUACACUUCAUACAAAAUUAAAUAACAAGAAUUAACUUUAAUUAACAUACAGAGUGCCCAGAAGUAUUACAUCUCUUGAAAUAUGUACAUAAGAUACAUAUAUAUGAGGCUCUAAAGUUUUUUUUAUCUUAUAAUAUAAAAG
Molecule: long non-coding RNA, 248 nt
Filed under: Carica papaya (papaya)
Lineage: Eukaryota; Viridiplantae; Streptophyta; Magnoliopsida; Brassicales; Caricaceae
Description: long non-coding RNA (CPAP_LNC015730)
Source: RNAcentral